AGCAGAGAUGUGAAAAAUACUUUAUAAAAAGUAUUUAAAUACAAAAUACAAAUACUUCCUUGAUAAUACAAUUUCAAAUGCAAAAUACAAAAUAGUUUUUGAAUUUGUAUUUAAAUACAAAAUACGAAAUAGGUAUUUUCAAAAUACUUUUUAAAAAUACAAAUACCUUGCGAUAAAAGGUACUCUGAGUAGUGAAUACCUAGUCUAAAUUAAAAAGUAUUACUCGGAAUUUCUGAGUUGAAAAGACUCUCUUUAUUCUUUGAAAUCAAUCCUCAAUCUAAAGUGCAAAUUUCUAGUUGUUUGCUCAUAUUAACCGGUAGGAUGUAUGGAUGAUGGUUUUUAACGGCCAACUUAUAAAGCAUUUAUUCGUAAUGUUUUACAGCUAGUAUAAUGCCUCUCGUUAGUGUGAUGAAAACGUCUCGUUUGUGUUUCACCAGGGCAGAAAAAUUUGUUCUCCUCUCGUGCCUUGAAAGCGUCGCAACACUCAAGAUUCCACUUUUUUAACCACUCGCUACGCUUGUGGUCAUGUGCGACGUUACUAAACAGAUUCAACAGUUCCACGUUAAAAGAAUGAGAGAGUUGCCAGGAUUGUAACAUAAGAAGAGAUUGUAACUCCUACCUACAUUACCUACCUACUAUAAAGUAUUUUG
This is a long non-coding RNA of Cydia splendana, 650 nucleotides long. RefSeq lists it as uncharacterized. The transcript is spliced from 2 exons. NCBI's taxonomy places the organism in Eukaryota, Metazoa, Arthropoda, Insecta, Lepidoptera, Tortricidae. The record is from RefSeq and is a predicted model, not a curated record.